UACGUAGGGCGCGAGCGUUGUCCGGAUUUAUUGGGCGUAAAGAGCUCGUAGGCGGCUUGUCGCGUCGUUCGUGAAAACCCGGGGCUCAACUCCGGGCUUGCGGGCGAUACGGGCAGGCUAGAGUUCGGUAGGGGAGACUGGAAUUCCUGGUGUAGCGGUGAAAUGCGCAGAGUAUCAGGAGGAACACCGGUGGCGAAGGCGGGUCUCUGGGCCGAUACUGACGCUGAGGAGCGAAAGCGUGGGGAGCGAACAGG
RNAcentral lists this ribosomal RNA (254 nucleotides) under uncultured bacterium. RNAcentral's name for it is "partial 16S ribosomal RNA". It matches the Rfam family "Bacterial small subunit ribosomal RNA", at positions 524 to 776 of the family's 1533-position model. The record is from RNAcentral.